RNAcentral lists this ribosomal RNA (1279 nucleotides) under metagenome. RNAcentral describes it as "bacterial SSU rRNA". It matches the Rfam family "Bacterial small subunit ribosomal RNA", at positions 8 to 1309 of the family's 1533-position model. The record is from RNAcentral.
AGAGUUUGAUCCUGGCUCAGGACGAACGCUGGCGGCGCGCCUAACACAUGCAAGUCGAACGAGAGAGAGGGAGCUUGCUUCCUCAAUCGAGUGGCGAACGGGUGAGUAACGCGUGAGGAACCUGCCUCAAAGAGGGGGACAACAGUUGGAAACGACUGCUAAUACCGCAUAAGCCCACGGCUCGGCAUCGAGCAGAGGGAAAAGGAGCAAUCCGCUUUGAGAUGGCCUCGCGUCCGAUUAGCUAGUUGGUGAGGUAAUGGCCCACCAAGGCGACGAUCGGUAGCCGGACUGAGAGGUUGAACGGCCACAUUGGGACUGAGACACGGCCCAGACUCCUACGGGAGGCAGCAGUGGGGAAUAUUGCACAAUGGGGGAAACCCUGAUGCAGCGACGCCGCGUGGAGGAAGAAGGUCUUCGGAUUGUAAACUCCUGUUGUUGAGGAAGAUAAUGACGGUACUCAACAAGGAAGUGACAGCUAACUACGUGCCAGCAGCCGCGGUAAACGUAGGUCACAAGCGUUGUCCGGAAUUACUGGGUGUAAAGGGAGCGCAGGCGGGCGAUCAAGUUGGAAGUGAAAUCCAUGGGCUCAACCCAUGAACUGCUUACAAAACUGAUUGUCUUGAGUAGUGCAGAGGUAGGCGGAAUUCCCGGUGUAGCGGUGGAAUGCGUAGAUAUCGGGAGGAACACCAGUGGCGAAGGCGGCCUACUGGGCACCAACUGACGCUGAGGCUCGAAAGUGUGGGUAGCAAACAGGAUUAGAUACCCUGGUAGUCCACACCGUAAACGGUGAUUACUAGGUGUUGGAGGAUUGACCCCUUCAGUGCCGCAGUUAACACAAUAAGUAAUCCACCUGGGGAGUACGACCGCAAGGUUGAAACUCAAAGGAAUUGACGGGGGCCCGCACAAGCAGUGGAGUAUGUGGUUUAAUUCGACGCAACGCGAAGAACCUUACCAAGUCUUGACAUCCUGCGACGAUGCUAGAAAUAGUAUUUUCCUUCGGGACGCAGAGACAGGUGGUGCAUGGUUGUCGUCAGCUCGUGUCGUGAGAUGUUGGGUUAAGUCCCGCAACGAGCGCAACCCUUAUGGUCAGUUACUACGCAAGAGGACUCUGGCCAGACUGCCGUUGACAAAACGGAGGAAGGUGGGGAUGACGUCAAAUCAUCAUGCCCUUUAUGACUUGGGCUACACACGUACUACAAUGGCGCUAAACAAAGAGAAGCAAGACCGCGAGGUGGAGCAAAACUCAGAAACAACGUCCCAGUUCGGACUGCAGGCUGCA